UAGUAAUACGAAUAGUGCGCCGGGUAGUCAUUUUAUUUCAAUUAAUAUGAAUAAACGUAUCAGAGGCUGUGUGUUAUCGCACGUUGUAAACCAAUAAUCGAACUUUAAUAAUCGAAAUAGAACAAGUCCGUAACAAGUGUUGUGCAUGCGAAUAAUGGAUUGUGAAGAAACGACAGUGACGUCUAGCUACUCAGCCUUGGACGUUAUGAUUACGAGAAAAAGUGUAUUUUGAAAAUAUAUCAAGUGUUUUCGUGUUGAAAACGUCUGUGAGAUAUUAAUUGACGGUGUAGUGGUAUUGUUCACGGCUGUUUCGACACUAGGCAGGUGUUAUGUCGGGCGGUAGGAGCAUCGAGAAGGAGCGCAAGUCUCCACGCGAGAGUGGUGAAGACUCCGAGGAUGAGAGUGAAAUUUUAGAAGAGAGUCCCUGCGGUCGGUGGCUAAAACGCCGGGAAGAGGUUGAACAACGCGAUGUGCCCGGUAUUGACUGCGCCAACCUUGCGAUGGACACCGAAGAGGGCGUGGAAGUCGUGUGGAAUGAAGUCCAGUUCUCCGAGCGGAAGAACUUCAAAGCUCAGGAAGAUAAGAUACAGACGGUGUUCGACAACCUGACCAGGCUUGAACACCCUAACAUCGUCAAGUUCCAUCGAUACUGGACUGACACGCAUAACGACAAACCCAGGGUAAUUUUCAUUACUGAGUACAUGUCGUGCGGCUCAUUGAAGCAGUUUCUGAAGAGAACGAAGCGCAACGUGAAGAGGCUGCCCCUCCAGGCGUGGAAGCGAUGGUGCACACAGAUACUAUCUGCAUUAAGUUAUCUCCACGGCUGUGUUCCGCCGAUCGUCCACGGAAACCUGACCUGCGACACCAUUUUCAUCCAGCAUAACGGCCUGGUGAAGAUCGGCUCUGUAGCGCCCGACGCAAUUCACCACCACGUCAAGACCUGCCGCGAAAAUAUGAAGAACAUGCACUUUAUCGCCCCAGAAUAUGGAUCAUCUCAAAUGGUGACGCCAGCAAUGGAUAUCUACUCGUUCGGAAUGUGCGCUCUGGAAACCGCAGCCCUCGAAAUCCAAGGAAAUGGAGACUCUGGCAGCCACGUCACGGAGGAACACAUCAUACGGACGGUCGAAUCGUUGGAGGAUCCCAGACAGAAGGACUUUAUAUACAGGUGUAUAAACCAGCAUCCCGAGAAGAGGCCGACGGCGAGAGAGCUGCUCUUCCAUCCACUGCUGUUUGAAGUCCAUUCCUUAAAACUGCUGGCGGCCCACACGCUGGUUAAUACAACCGCUAAUAUCUCCGAAACUAUAACUGACGAAGUGACCGGCGGCAGCAGCGGCGAGGCGCUGGCGUGGUGCGUGCGCGGCGGGGAGCGCGUCGAGAUCGCGGCCAAGGACCUCCAGCCGCACGCUGAAAAACUAGAGAAAUUUGUCGAAGACGUCAAGUACGGCAUCUACCCGCUGACGGCGUACGGGUCGGGGGCGGGGGGCCGCGCCUCGUCCCCCGAGCGCGCCCCCGCCCCCGCCGCCUCGCCCCCCCCGCGCGACACCGAGUCCCGCCGCGUCGUGCACAUGAUGUGCAACGUGGCGCCGCCGCCGCGACACAGCGACGCGCCCGACCACGACCUGCUGAUGACCAUCAUCCUGCGCAUGGACGACAAGAUGAACCGGCAGCUGACGUGCGCCGUGUCGCGCCGGGACUCCGCGUCGCACCUCGCGCGCGAGCUGGUGCAGCUCGGCUUCAUCCACGAGGCGGACCGCGACAAGAUCUGCCGGAUCAUGGAGGAGUCCCUCCGCGCCAGUUUCCCCCCGGCGGCGGAGCCCCCCGUGGCGGCCCCCCCGGCGGCGGCGGCCCGCGCGCCUCAGCACGUGGCCAGCUAGUGCGGCGCCCCCCCGCCCGCGCGUCCCCCCCUCGCCUCGCGCGCAGCUCCGCGCGGCGGUCGGUCGUCGGAGACGGCUACGGCUGCGGUGAGCCGGCGCGGUCCUGCGCGCACUGCGGACUGCGCGAGGCACAGCUCGGCCUCGCGAUCGAACCAGCGGGUCUAGCAGCCGGAUUAGAAACAAAUCAAUUAAAUAAAUUGAGUGCUAUUAUCAAAAAUGUAUUUUAAAAUGUUAGCAAAGUAAUCAAGUCAGCCUCGGGUCGGGGACUCGACCGGCGGAGGUUCGGUAUUAGACGAGUAUUUGUCCGAUUUUUGUUUAGAUUCAUGUGAAUACCGAUGUACAUGAAAAUAAGCCUGCACUGAUUAAUAAAUUUUAUGAAAUGAAAACUAAAACGUUAUGUGUUGUAAAGAACCUUUCCUUAUUUCAAAUUGAUGGACCUCUCGUGGUUUGCUCAGGCCCCCGCGCCGGUCCCCUCGUCGGCCCCCUCCGCCGGAAUAAUCAAAUUGCUAGUCGAGUGUGAAUCUAAAAACCGGACUGACCGAAUCGUUAAGGAAAAAAAUAGUUGAAUAUUGAAAAUUAUUUAAUCGACAAUGAUUCGGCGAAGGUUUAUAGUUGUUAGUGUGUACAUCGAGAAUGCUUUAGUAUAGAAACUUUUGUAUGAAUGUGUAAAUGUUACAAAAAUGAUAUUUAAUUAAUAUAAUAAUAUAUAAAUAAAUGUGAAACUUUAAAAAAAAACAUUAAUCGUAAUCUGUAUAGUGAGGCUUCCUUUUAGAGCUUUAUGGACGUGGUAUACGGGAAAAUGAACAUACUCACUAAGUGUUUAAGGUCGAAAUUUAUUUGUUUAGCGUUGGUUUUUUAAAUGUGCAAUAGUUCUCAAACUUCCUCUUUAAAUCGGCGCUCACGCACUUGUUGGAUACGCCUAGAGUCGUGGUCAAUUCUGUGAUCGCGAAAACUACUUGAAUACGUAUUCUCUUGAAGGAAGCAUUAGAGUGUGUGUGGAACGAUCGUCUCGAGUUUGAAAUCUAUUGUACUUUUAAGAUUCAAAAUUAUUUUUUUGUAAAUUUUUGUACAUUUUACAAGUCGGUCAAUGUGAGUGCAGUAGGGCACGUAGGCUGCGCCGACGCAGAAUUAGUUUAUGAACAAGUCAAUUUCAAUAGAAUAAUGCCUUUUUUAAAUAAAAUACUUAUUUACAACUGCAUUUAAACGAUUUAAUUGUCGCGAUUCCGAUCGUCGUGCGUUGCUCGCACGCGGACACGUUUAAUGACAGUUAUCAAACUUGAGGUUUAAUGACAGCUGUCAAACUUGACGUCACUGCGAAGUGUAGCCCGACCGGACCUCGUUGGUGAGUGGCUUCUGCGACCCUCGCAGCAGAGGGUGGACCCCAUCACCCUGUUUAUUUUCAACAAAAACAGGUUAUGGUGUGGUUCUGUGGUAAAGUGCAAGAAGUGGAUCGGGCAGCGCCCCCAGUGGCCCACGGACAGCGGUCAGGCGGACACCACUCGCGACGACAUUUUGUGCUUUUGUUUUCUUAAGGAAGGCACCUUGUUCCUAUUUUUUAUUUCGGUGCUGAUUGUGAAAUAUCUUUUUUUUGUUUUUUCUUUGAUAGUUGCAAUUACACGUUUUAAAAUAAAUCUCUUGCAAAAAACAGUAACAAAAAAUAACGCAGAUCUUUAUCCAAUGUUCGUGUGUUUCGUUGAAUGCUAGUGGUGCCAAACUUACAAGGUGCCAAUAAAAUGUUACGGAAUUCUAUCACAUAACACGCUUCACGAUAUCAACUGUACACUGUAUUUUAGUACCAAAAAUAAUAAAUUGUUUCUUGUCCCUUCCAUCUCUACACCGCAGCAACAAUAAAGCUGAAUAUUAUCCGAAAAAACAGAAUUGUUGGCAAACAUUUUGUUAUUUGUUCUUAUUCGUUGCGUAUAGACUCGAACUGCAUCUAAAAAUAUGUACAAUUACUUUUCCUCAUUUUCUGCUCAUUUAUUUUUGGUACCUACUUAAAACGAGCGAUGUAUAGUUAGGGAAGUAACAAAACGUUCGCGUUCUCUUCAUAAUUUCAAAUUGUAAGCUUUUCACGUUUGAAGUCGUGGACACAAAUACGUACGUCGUCCGGCGACCUGCGAACUGAUCCUUAUACUUCAUUUACUAGUUUCUAAACCUGCCAACUUCCAGCACUUCCUGCCCGUCGCGUAGAUCAGGAGUCGUUACUGAAAUUUAUGAAAAUUGCAUUGAAUAUAUAUUUUUAAGUACGUUGCUGACCGGCCGACGCACGGCCCUCACACAGACAGCUCGCGUCACGCCGUCGGCCGCUAGUGACGGGCCGCGUCACGCCGUCGGCCGGUAGUGACGGGCCGCGUCAUGCUGUCGGCCGGUAGUGACGGGCCGCGUCAUGCCGUCGGCCGGUGUAGCGGCACGGCGGUGACUCCGCAGGAGCACGGAGAGCGCGUUUAUAUGAACUAGAAGCGGUCUUCCAUUUCAUAUAAAACAAGAUCUCCCGCGCGGCCGCCGCUGUGUCUGUGCCUGUGUACCGACUUGCUUUUUUUAUUUUAUUAUGAAAUUAUCUUGAAUCUUGCUUAUGAUUUUAAACUAUAUAUAUUUUGCACAAACCUGAAGUUUUGAGAUUUUGAUUCAAUAUAUUAUAAUGUUUUUAUUAUUAUUUUUGUUGUUAUUCAAUCUGCUUUAUUAUUAAUAACCCCACAAUAUCGUUCUGUUAUUAAAAUAUAUCUUUAUGUACUGCGUAUUACUUUUUUAUUUAUAUUAUUUAAUUUUAAAAUGAACACAUUAAUGAUGAAAUUUAGUGAAUCUUGUUUUUAAAGUGAAAUUGUACCCAGGGUGUUCCCGCGUCGUGUGUCCAAAGAGUGAUGUGUUCAUGAGUUG
RNAcentral lists this unclassified non-coding RNA (4748 nucleotides) under Bombyx mandarina (wild silkworm). Its description in RNAcentral is "nuclear receptor-binding protein homolog, transcript variant X1". The record is from RNAcentral. Lineage: Eukaryota; Metazoa; Arthropoda; Insecta; Lepidoptera; Bombycidae.